Long non-coding RNA from Bemisia tabaci, 819 nucleotides. RefSeq lists it as uncharacterized. Lineage: Eukaryota; Metazoa; Arthropoda; Insecta; Hemiptera; Aleyrodidae. The record is from RefSeq and is a predicted model, not a curated record.
GAGGGAAAAUGGGAAGGCCGCUGGAAUGUGCUUGCUCCAUUGCUCCAUAGUCUAUUGUUAUAACACGGUACUGUUGAAAUGGUUGGUGUUCCUGCAACUUCCGAUGGUGACUUUGAAUCUGUAAUGAGAGGAAAUUCAGCGAAUUGACGCGAAGACCUUUGGCCUUAUGCAACCGGUAGCCAGGAAGUUCAUUCUUUAUCAUAACACCUGAACGCAACUAUUCUUGCUUAGUAGAUGUAUACCGAGGGACACGCCCCUUGGCCGAUACGCGGCCCAAUUCAUAUAAGAGGCGCUUCGUGCCCUGCCCUAACAGCCCGCGAAGCGAGUCCCUGUGAGUUAAGAAGUCAAAAAAUGGCACACGUUGUGCAUAUGCAACCUUCAUUCGUCCUCCCACAUGUUUCCGAAUUCCGCUCGUAUCUUCGUUAGAAUCGGAUGCAAGAGAUGAUCGAUCAAAUCACCCAUUUUAAGGGAGGGACGGGGAAUAAGCAACUAAAUUAAUAACUGAUAAACAAAAGGUGUGGACCAUUUCACCACUUUGUUACUUGUAAGGAGGGCUAGCUCCAUGGUACCCUGCUUCGCAUCUUUUAACGUGCCAAACUUGCUUCCUUUAUCACAUCUCACUUGUAAGCCCUCUUUCCAUUUUGCGUGUUGAUAGUUCAAGAUGUAACAGUUUUUCGUCCUUACCUUCUCGUUUACUCUUCGGUGUGACAACCCGGAAGGCACUGCUGGAAUCACUGGUCGUGGCAGAAUUUUGGAGCAUUUUCAGUAGACCCUGUUGAGGUUUCACGCCCAGACUGAAGUCCAAAGGUGCCGGAAUCG